Long non-coding RNA from Entelurus aequoreus (snake pipefish), 598 nucleotides. RefSeq lists it as uncharacterized. The transcript has 2 exons. The record is from RefSeq and is a predicted model, not a curated record. NCBI's taxonomy places the organism in Eukaryota, Metazoa, Chordata, Actinopteri, Syngnathiformes, Syngnathidae.
CAAACAAGAUGGUUAAAAUGUAAGUAAGACCAAAAUAACUGCGGGGCCGCGGUGGUUUUACAUGCUAAACAGCACCUCGUGUGACCCGACGCCAUGAAUAAUCAGCCCUGUGUUGUGGGCGAGAUGAUUAUUUGCUAUGUAAUUGUGUCAAGUGCUAAUAUCCCCCUGGAAGAAAGAAAAAAAAAACACACAAUCUCUGGGAUUAACAAACUCGAGUGGGAAGUGAAAAGGAGGACUUUUUAGGUUCUGCCCAUGUUGUGUGGAGGAGAAGGAUGGAGGACGCGGGGGUUCUAGUCAACGCCAACGCGAUCACUGCAAAAAGUGAUAUGGGUGUCCAAAGUGCGGCCCGGGGGCCAUUUGCGGCCCGCAGCUGAUUGUUUACCGGCCUGCCACACAUUCUGCAAAAAUUGCAAAAUUGAUAAUAUUGCAAACAUUUUCAAAAACAUUUUUAAAAAAGUGGAAUGAGGUGAAAUCUAACAAGAAAAAGUUGCAAUGUUGACACAAAGCUGCCAUGCAGGCUGUUUUUUUUCUUUUGUCUUUGUUUAUUUGUCUUUUUUUUGCCAUUGCUAAAAAAAAAAUAAAAAAAAUCUGUCAUGUC